Molecule: long non-coding RNA, 2077 nt
Filed under: Marmota monax (woodchuck)
Lineage: Eukaryota; Metazoa; Chordata; Mammalia; Rodentia; Sciuridae
Source: RNAcentral
UCUACAACAGAUAAGGAUUGCUUUGCUCAGGAGACAAUUCUUAUAACUUCUCUCAGCGCUGCCCCUGUCUCUUGCUCGCUCUGUCUAUGUCGCCUUGUUCUUUCUGGCGUGGGGUCUGUGUAUCUAUCUAUCCCCUAGCCCCGGCUGCAGGCUGGAAGCAGCAACUUUCUUGAGACUUUGGUGUCUGGAGCCCACACCCCAGCGCCUGUCUUGCUCACAUAGCUGAUACCUGUUUCUCAUCCCCAGGCUCAAGUGUGAGCACAUGAUCUGCAUUCAUUGAGUGCCUACUGUAUGCCUGGUUCUGGGAUCCCUUGGGAGGAGGGCCUUUGAUCUUUGCAGACAGACAAGGAGACCCAGCAGGGAGGUGGCACAGAGCAUAGGACACAGUGGGAAUGCAGAACUCAGAUCAGCCUUGGGGGUGCACAAGGCCAGAUGAGGACCUGGGACCAAGGAGGAGCACAGUGGUACCUGAAAGCCUUCAGGGGCUGGGGUCUUGGAGGAGUGCGGAGCCCAGCACAGUAAUGGCAGAGGCUCAGAGUCAGAGUGGAGCACCCAAGGUGUGGCCAGGGUGGGGCCCUGAUAAGCAGGGCCUGGCAGGACCAAGUGAGGCCUGAGGCCUGAUAAAGUAUGGACUUUAUUCAGAGGGCCACCAGGUAGGAAAGAAGCUGCUAGAAAGAGUGCUUGGGCUGCUGGGCCCCAGGGAGCUGGCCCAGUCGAGGGGCAGGAUGUGGUGGUCUUCACUGUAGGGGUGGCAGUGCUGGGCAAGGGCCAGGGGGACCAGAUUGGGAGUGUCCUGGCUCCUGGCUUGGGGACCGUGGAAAGAUAUGCUGUGUGAGGUGCUGGUAGGGACAUCUUUGGUGGCCCCAGGGAACUGCCACUAAUGCUGCCUCCCAACUCAGUCAUCAGAGGAAGUUCUGGAGGCUGAGUAUCGAGUAUCGUGGGGACCUGUGAGACAGUUUUCCAGAGAGCGCUGGCCACCACCUUCUCGGCCCUUCACCCAACCCACGCCCUAUCUGCACACACUUCGUGGUUGCUCCUUCCUUACCAGCUUUUCAGGUUCUCCUGACCGCUGCCCUCAGGGUCGAGAAAACCCAGUUCCAGGAACAGCCCUGGGUGGCACAGUGUUGCCCUUGUCUCCUCCUGGGAAAUCCCUGGUGGGUCAGCAACUUUGGAGGGCAAGGGUCAGGAUGAUUAUCUGGGGUGACAGUGGGGGACCCCUGUUCUGCACCUGCUUGCAUGCCCCUGGCACGGGGAACUCACCAUCCACAUGGGCUUCACACAGCUGGGCAGGAGGCGGUCCCCACCUAGGUGCCUGCUCAGAGCCCUUGUGUGGCUUGGGGUUGGAAGACCUGUUUCUGCUCCUUCCAGUGGACCCAGAGAAGCUGCCCUGGCUCCCUGCCAGGGGUCAGUUUCGGGAAAACACCUUCCUGCCUCAGGCUUGAACAAGCCCUGGGGCAGCCAAGCGAGUGGGUCAUCUCACAUUUCUUGGGUUAGUCCGGUUCACAGGGUCUGAAGAACGUGGAGAGCAGCAGGUGGGGUAAGCCCUAAGCCCAAGAGGCACUUUCCUUAAUUACUGGUGUCAAAGAGGCUCAAAAUGGGAAACGGGCAUCUCUAGCCCUAGAAACAGGAAAGGUGGGCCCUGGGGAUGUUUCCCACCCCGCCAGCCUGUCUUCUGACCCCUCGCCUGGCAUCUCGGCGGGCAUGCACGGGGAGUGGAGAAACCAGGCGGGAAGUACUUCGAACACCCUGGAACAAGGCGUCUCCUGCUCCCCAGGAAGCUGGGUCGGCUCCAGCCUCAGUUUCUCCAUUGGCCCACUGUCCUUCCUUCUGGAGAGUGGCAGAAGGACGGUGGGAAGUGGGGCCUUGAAAGGCAAACCCGAAGCCUCUGUAGGGAGCCCCCGCGGGAUCCUAAACCUGGAGCUGCCCCUCCCCCCCGCGUCCAGGGUUAGGGCCGGCGGGGCGGGGCCUCAGUGGGCGUGGUCUGCCUAGGGGCGGAGAGGGAGGCCCGGCCGGAGCCAGUACGGGAGUGGGGGUUGACCAAAGGGGGUGUGGCUUGCCGGGACGGGACCGACAGGAG